This 781-nucleotide ribosomal RNA is filed under the name uncultured Kineosporiaceae bacterium. RNAcentral describes it as "bacterial SSU rRNA". It matches the Rfam family "Bacterial small subunit ribosomal RNA", at positions 508 to 1289 of the family's 1533-position model. Lineage: Bacteria; Bacillati; Actinomycetota; Actinomycetes; Kineosporiales; Kineosporiaceae. The record is from RNAcentral.
CCAGCAGCCGCGGUAAUACGUAGGGUGCAAGCGUUGUCCGGAAUCAUUGGGCGUAAAGAGCUCGUAGGCGGUCUGUCGCGUCUGCUGUGAAAACCUGGGGCUUAACCCCGGGCCUGCAGUGGGUACGGGCAGACUAGAGUGCGGUAGGGGAGACUGGAAUUCCUGGUGUAGCGGUGAAAUGCGCAGAUAUCAGGAGGAACACCGGUGGCGAAGGCGGGUCUCUGGGCCGUAACUGACGCUGAGGAGCGAAAGCAUGGGUAGCGAACAGGAUUAGAUACCCUGGUAGUCCAUGCCGUAAACGUUGAGCGCUAGGUGUGGGGCUCAUUCCACGAGUUCCGUGCCGCAGCAAACGCAUUAAGCGCCCCGCCUGGGGAGUACGGCCGCAAGGCUAAAACUCAAAGGAAUUGACGGGGCCCCGCACAAGCGGCGGAGCAUGCGGAUUAAUUCGAUGCAACGCGAAGAACCUUACCAAGGCUUGACAUGCAGGGAAAUCUCCCAGAGAUGGGAGGUCCGCAAGGGUCCUGCACAGGUGGUGCAUGGUUGUCGUCAGCUCGUGUCGUGAGAUGUUGGGUUAAGUCCCGCAACGAGCACAACCCUCGUUCUAUGUUGCCAGCGGGUAAUGCCGGGGACUCAUAGGAGACUGCCGGGGUCAACUCGGAGGAAGGUGGGGAUGACGUCAAAUCAUCAUGCCCCUUAUGUCUUGGGCUUCACGCAUGCUACAAUGGCCAGUACAAAGGGCUGCGAGACCGUAAGGUGGAGCGAAUCCCAAAAAGCUGGUCUC